GACUCCAGUUGAAGAUCUUUCCAUUAGGGAGCCAUUGGAGGAUUUUAUUAUUGUUAUUGUUAUUAUUAUUAUUUUGAGACAGAGUCUUGCUCUGUUGCCAGGUGCCAGGCUGGAGUGCAGUGACACAAUCUCGGCUCACUGCAACCUCCUCCUCCUGGGUUCAAGCAAUUCUCCUGCCUCAACCUCCCAAGUAGCUGGGACUACAGGCGCAUGCCACCACACCCAGCUGAUUUUUGUAUUUUUUUAAUAGAGACGGGAUUUCACUCUGUUGGCCAGGAUAGUCUCGAUCUCUUGAUCUUGUGAUCCACCUGCCUCAGUCUCCCAAAGUGCUGGGAUUACAGGCAUGAGCCACCGUGCCCAGCCUGGAGGAUUUUAAGCAGAAGACUAAACUGAUGAGACUUGUUUAAAACUACUCUGUAAGCUGUGAUGAAGGAAUUGGAGCGAGGUGCCUGAAUGAGAGAAGACGAGUUGGGAGACAUAAAGUGGAAAAAGGCUCCAGUGGUCCUAAUGUUGUUGAAUUCAAUAGAAGCCUGUCAGUAGCACUUGAUGCAGCAGAUCUCCGUUCUUCUCUUUGUUAUCAGGAUAUCAGCCACUCUUCCUUUUUGCUGUCUGUUAUGGUUCAUUACCAUGUCCCUUGCUGGAUACUCCUCCCAUAUAUUUCCAAAUGCUGUAAUG
RNAcentral lists this long non-coding RNA (675 nucleotides) under Callithrix jacchus (white-tufted-ear marmoset). RNAcentral's name for it is "lncRNA (ENSCJAG00000066818.2)". The record is from RNAcentral. Lineage: Eukaryota; Metazoa; Chordata; Mammalia; Primates; Cebidae.